GGCCUCGCAGCUCAGUUGACUAGAGCGUUGGCUGUAUUAAAACCUUCCCCUUGCUGGCGUGGGUUCGAAUCCCACCGAGGCCG
Molecule: non-coding RNA, 83 nt
Organism: Schistocephalus solidus
Lineage: Eukaryota; Metazoa; Platyhelminthes; Cestoda; Diphyllobothriidea; Diphyllobothriidae
Source: Rfam